Molecule: non-coding RNA, 86 nt
Filed under: Platyophrya macrostoma
Lineage: Eukaryota; Ciliophora; Colpodea; Cyrtolophosidida; Platyophryidae
Source: RNAcentral
AAAAAAAAAAAAAAAACCGAAAAAACACAACAAAAAAAAGACCCCAUACAACAUCAAGUUGAUUGUACUGCGACGUUCUUUAUUUU